RNAcentral lists this ribosomal RNA (430 nucleotides) under Pseudomonadota bacterium. RNAcentral's name for it is "Proteobacteria bacterium partial 16S ribosomal RNA". It matches the Rfam family "Bacterial small subunit ribosomal RNA", at positions 355 to 776 of the family's 1533-position model. Lineage: Bacteria; Pseudomonadati; Pseudomonadota. The record is from RNAcentral.
UGGGGAAUAUUGGACAAUGGGGGGAACCCUGAUCCAGCCAUGCCGCGUGUGUGAAGAAGGCCUUAUGGUUGUAAAGCACUUUAAGCGAGGAGGAGGGUACUGGUAUUAAUACUACCAGGUACUGGACGUUACUCGCAGAAUAAGCACCGGCUAACUCUGUGCCAGCAGCCGCGGUAAUACAGAGGGUGCGAGCGUUAAUCGGAUUUACUGGGCGUAAAGCGUGCGUAGGCGGCUAAUUGAGUCGGAUGUGAAAUCCCCGAGCUUAACUGGGGAAUUGCAUUCGAUACUGGUUAGCUAGAGUGUGGGGGAGGAUGGUAGAAUUCCGGGUGUAGCGGUGAGAUGCGUAGAGAUCUGGAGGAAUACGGAUGGCGAAGGCAGCCAUCUGGCCUAACUCUGACGCUGAAGUACGAAAGCAUGGGGAGCAAACAGG